GGGGAGCGUGUGAGAAUGAAAGACUACAGCCGAGAGACAGUAAAAACCAGAAAGGAAAUUGCUUUGGAGAUGAGGAAACAAACUCUUAUGGAUUCUCUUCAGAGGACAAGAGAAGAUGUUACAUUCUCUGCAUGAGGACAAUUCUGCAGCAUCAAAAUCGAAUAAUAUUUGUUUUCUGGCAGCAGAAUUUUGUAUCAUAUUUCUAAAGACAGUAAGCACUUGGGUGGACGUCAAUGAAUACUAAACACUAAUUGAUCUGAUACAGCCGUAUGCACAUACACAGAUAUACAUGGUGGCUUGUAAUGGUUGAAAAAUUACGGUUUGGUUUUAUUAAAAGAUCUGUCACUUUUAGGUCAGAGUGGGAUUUUGGAGGGAUAGUCUCCCACAAUAGAAAACUACCCUGACAACAGUGGUGUUUUGAGGUUGUUUGUUGUUUGGCUUCUUGAUGAUGCUUAGCUAAGGAGACACUUCCUUUCAGAUUCUGUCUUCCAAACCCCAGGGCUCUGUUCUGGGCAGUUCAGCCUAAUGGAAUUAAGCCUGACAUGUUUCAACUCUAUUUCUUGAUAAAAUAAACAUAAAACAAUGGUUUAGAUUUCGAAUAAAACUCUUGAAGCAUGGGG
RNAcentral lists this long non-coding RNA (620 nucleotides) under Homo sapiens (human). RNAcentral describes it as "MIR9-2 host gene". The record is from RNAcentral. Lineage: Eukaryota; Metazoa; Chordata; Mammalia; Primates; Hominidae.